GUGGGGAAUAUUGGACAAUGGGCGAAAGCCUGAUCCAGCCAUGCCGCGUGUGUGAAGAAGGUCUUCGGAUUGUAAAGCACUUUAAGUUGGGAGGAAGGGCAGUAAGUUAAUACCUUGCUGUUUUGACGUUACCGACAGAAUAAGCACCGGCUAACUUCGUGCCAGCAGCCGCGGUAAUACGAAGGGUGCAAGCGUUAAUCGGAAUUACUGGGCGUAAAGCGCGCGUAGGUGGUUUUGUAAGUUGGAGGUGAAAUCCCCGGGCUCAACCUGGGAACUGCCUGCAAAACUGCAUGACUAGAGUACGGUAGAGGGUAGUGGAAUUUCCUGUGUAGCGGUGAGAUGCGUAGAUAUAGGAAGGAACACCAGUGGCGAAGGCGACUACCUGGACUGAUACUGACACUGAGGUGCGAAAGCGUGGGGAGCAAACAGGAUUAGAAACCCCAGUAGUCC
RNAcentral lists this ribosomal RNA (450 nucleotides) under uncultured bacterium. RNAcentral describes it as "partial 16S ribosomal RNA". It matches the Rfam family "Bacterial small subunit ribosomal RNA", at positions 354 to 796 of the family's 1533-position model. The record is from RNAcentral.